UGUGGCGUUUCUCAUUGGCUGGGGUGUUGCCAGGUGGGGAGAGAACUCUUCCUUCGGUGGUAAAGUAGUUGUACUUCCACUGAGAGAUGUAAACCACGGUCUCUUCCCAUUUGCAGUAAAAUUGAUGUUGUUUGACAGGCUUCAGAGCUCCCCCUACAGGCCGUCCUGACUCCGUUUUCAUUGAGGUUUCUUAUACAUUUCACACUUGGUAAAUAACCUUCUCACAGAGUCAAAUCGGGUGGGCUUUGUCUGCUGGGAAGACCCUAAAUGUCAACUCUGCCUCAGGAGUGGCAAGAAGAGCAGAGGGAGAGAGACUUGGCAGAGAGACUCUGGAGCUGAUGGACAGAGGCUGGCAGAGCGGCCGCUACAGAACAGUGACCGGCCACAUCCACCCAAACAGCCUGAGUGGUGGUCUUGAGCCUUGAAGUUAGUCAUGGAUCCCGGGCUGCAGGAGGCGGAGAGAAGCCACAGGAGAACCUGGAGCGGAUGAAAUCCAGGGGAGCCAGCAUGGAGCAGCCGCAGAACAAUGACCCCAAGUCUUGAGGCCACUAACAGGGCUGCGUCCAGCACAACAGGCAGUUUUGGCGAUAUGUGACUUCAGUGCUCUCUGCAGGGGCCCCAGACCCUCUAUCACUCCAAGCUUAGCCUGCCCCCUGCCCCUCAAAACCCUUAAGUUCUGGGCACCAUCACUUCUGCUCCACUCUUCGAGGCUCCACGAGGCUCCUGGUAGUUGAGUGAUGGGAAGAGAAACCCCAGGGGGACAAAGCGACUUCCGAAGCUAACUUUAUUACCCAUGUUGGCUGGUGAGGAGUUUGUGGCUGCAAAGGAAACAAGUUGUCCAUGAGCAGAGAUGCUGUUCCGGCCUUCAGUUGCUGGUCACGGCCCUGACUCUCUUCCCAAAAGUGAAUUUAACACUGUAACAAUAAAUACUACUGCACAGCGCUUUA
This is a non-coding RNA of Equus caballus (horse), 947 nucleotides long. NCBI's taxonomy places the organism in Eukaryota, Metazoa, Chordata, Mammalia, Perissodactyla, Equidae. The record is from RefSeq and is a predicted model, not a curated record.